UUGUGCCUGAAAUUGGGCUUGAAAUUGUUCAGGUUUUAGAUACUGAUUGUGUAAUAGGAUUGUGUAUAGAUGGAAUUAGAAAUGAUUGUAAUUUUGAACAUAUUUGUUUCAGGAAUGAAUAGGAAGUUUGAAGGUUAUUGGUUAGCUUGGGAAUUUCGGCUUGGAUGCGGCUACGAAGCGCAUUGGAUGGCAGGGCUGUUUUGGAAUUCUUA
This 212-nucleotide long non-coding RNA is filed under the name Lathyrus oleraceus (garden pea). Its description in RNAcentral is "Pisum sativum (pea) long non-coding RNA (PSAT_LNC005269)". The record is from RNAcentral. Lineage: Eukaryota; Viridiplantae; Streptophyta; Magnoliopsida; Fabales; Fabaceae.